ACAUAACGUUCUUUGUUUCGAGUUUAUUACAACCAAUGCGCGAUGUUUUAUAAUGCACUUUAAUGUUAUAUUAUGUAACAUUUACGUCAAUUUGCCUAAAUAUAUGGUGAGAAAAAUAUCAUCUUACGUACUUUCGCUGGCAUUUAUUACUCACUUUAUGAAACUAAGUUCAUAGUAUCCCUAGACUCGUUUGCUACUUGCUUUGUAUUAAUAUGACCUUAAGAAAUUGACAAUACUGGUUUCUAGCGGACUUGAGUGCGAAUCCUUUGAGGUUUCAUCUGUCUUCACAAUUGAGCUAAAAUUAAUUAAACAUAUCUUAAUGGACCUAAUUUCAGUCUCGGGAGGUGUGAUAUUUUGCAAGGGCUCGAAAGGUUACAUCCAGUGUCCUCCUGGCCAGAAGAUAGCCGUUCGUAGCGCUAACUACGGAAGGACACACAGUGGGGUUAUCUGUCCCCAUCGCGCCACAUCCAACCGAAACUGCCGCACAUCUGGCUCCUUCAGCAAAAUCAGGAAUUCUUGCAACAAUAGACAGCGAUGCUACUUGGCGGCAAACAAUAGAGUGUAUGGCGAUCCUUGCGUUGGAACGUACAAAUACAUUGAAGUGAGGUUCUCCUGUGUGCGGGGAUAAAACAGCCGGACGAAGAUAUAUGUGACACAUGUGUUGUUUCAGUGCGUCAUCGUGAUAUAAGCAAUGCUUAGACUGAUAUGUCAAUGAAAAAUGCCACUUUGCCUUCUAUGAAGACGACAGUAGACUUUCUAAGAGAUAUAAAAAGAAA
This is a long non-coding RNA of Mya arenaria, 776 nucleotides long. RefSeq lists it as uncharacterized. Lineage: Eukaryota; Metazoa; Mollusca; Bivalvia; Myida; Myidae. The record is from RefSeq and is a predicted model, not a curated record. The transcript is spliced from 2 exons.